Long non-coding RNA from Erinaceus europaeus (western European hedgehog), 345 nucleotides. RefSeq lists it as uncharacterized. The record is from RefSeq and is a predicted model, not a curated record. The transcript is spliced from 3 exons. NCBI's taxonomy places the organism in Eukaryota, Metazoa, Chordata, Mammalia, Eulipotyphla, Erinaceidae.
GUCCCCCACACCUGCAAACGAGCCGGUGACACCCAGGGGCGCCAGCGGCUCAGCCCAUUCUCCCCGGACAACCCCAGAGGACCACUGGAAUAGUAUUCCAUAUGUUCCACGACUUACUGGUCACCUGUCAGUGGGGAUCUAGACUACAAAGCUUGAUUAAAAUGGAAACAGCUGGCUAUGAUUUCUCACCAAUCUUGGUGCCUACCUGGGAAAGCUUGCACAAUGGGAAAGCUCCAACCUGCAAACUGUGAUCAAGUGGAAAUGAAAAUUUUGUGACUACUAAAUUCAACAGUUAAUGAACUUGGUAAGAUGUUACCUUUGACAUUUAAUUUUUAUGGAUUUUGA